AGGGUUGGAGAUUCAAUUGGGUUUAAUUGAUUUGCUUGUGAUGUAUUGAUGCACUUUAUCCGAUUCAAUUGUUUGAUAUUCGAUUUAGCAAUUGAUCACUGCUUGAUUGUGUUUGCAACGUGUGAGAUCGAGAGAAGAACUCGUUGCUUGACCGUGGUUGAAUUGGAAUUAGACUUAAUCGGAAACGCGUAGUCUAAUAAUUGAUGAAUUCAUGUGAUUUAAUUAGCGUAGAC
RNAcentral lists this long non-coding RNA (233 nucleotides) under Salvia miltiorrhiza (redroot sage). RNAcentral describes it as "long non-coding RNA (SMIL_LNC010063)". Lineage: Eukaryota; Viridiplantae; Streptophyta; Magnoliopsida; Lamiales; Lamiaceae. The record is from RNAcentral.